This 1074-nucleotide long non-coding RNA is filed under the name Monodelphis domestica (gray short-tailed opossum). RNAcentral's name for it is "lncRNA (ENSMODG00000044128.1)". The record is from RNAcentral. Lineage: Eukaryota; Metazoa; Chordata; Mammalia; Didelphimorphia; Didelphidae.
AUGCGCGAGACACUCCCGGCCCCCCAACCCGGCUGCCAGGGGACUGGAAAAGGGCUUGCAAGAGAUCCGCUAAUCCAAACAUUUCAUUUUGUAGGAGAGGGAAAAAAUGGAGCCCUGGACAGAAGACAUUCAUUGGACAUGACUCUGGGAGCCAAUGGGAGAGCUGAGUCCAGAGCAUUGGUGAAAGUGGGAGGGGAGAGCCUGAGGGUGCCUCCAUCCCAGCUUCAAUCCUGCCUAGGAAUCAGAGUUCUCUGUGGGAUGGCUCAAGUCUGGGAUCUGGGGAGGAGGGAAGGGACAGCACUGGUGGAUGUCAAUGACCAAAGCCAUUGUCCAAGGAAAGGAUCCCCAGUGAGGAGAUUCAGUUUGCAAAGCUAGUGGGGAAGAGGAAUGGGGCUCUUUGCUUCCUGGCUUGUCUCUCAACUAACUCUGCCUCUGGGCUAGUGCUCUGUCUGGGACCUGAACCCUCCUUGGGUGGGAAAGUCUGAAACCCUUAGUGACACCUCUUAUCUUUCCUUAGGGGUGCUUCUCGAUGGAGACCCACAUUCACAUCUGAAAACAGACUCUUCCUAAGGGCUGGGUGACCGUGGGCAAAGCACUUUACCCCCAUUGCCCAGCCUUGAACAAUUUCCUGCCUGAGAACCAAUACACAGCAUUGAGUGGAAGAUGGAAGGUAAAGGGGGGGGGGGAUGAAAACUACAAAUCGCUUCAGGAAGUAUUCUACAAAUCAGCUUCAAGCUCACCAAGAACCUUCUUCUUGCCCUGGAUUUCUUGUUUGGAUCUGGGCCUCCAUUCUUCAACCAGAGUUCCUCAAAAUUCUCAGCCAUUUGGUCAGAACUUCUUUCUCUGACUAGUCACACUGUCUCUUCCUUGGCUUCUUCUUUCUUUUUUCUUCAUUUUUUCUUUUCAUCUCCUUCUGGCAUUCCUGGAAUUUUGCCUUCAACCUGGGGGCAUGUUGUGCCUUCAGGAAUCUUCUGGCCAGCAGCUCUGCUUUGGAAUUUGAUGGGCAGAGUGAGGCUGUGUGUUCCCAACACAAGGCCCGUCAUUGCCCUAACUGGGCUUCAGAUCCAGCAGUGG